CAAGGGAGAAUCUCUCUUCCAAACCUUUCAUCUGUGUGAUUAAAAGUUUUUAAGAGAAGCCUUCAGAAAAAAUUCUUGAGUUUGUGAGCUUUGUAUGGCUGCAUCUAAGAGCCAAAUUUCUUGUUGAGAGUGUGUUUUGAUUUUAAGUGCUGCUAUAAGUUUUAAAUUGAACUGUGUGCUAACUGUUUACUUGUGCAGCAUCACAUAAUCUGUUGGCAAAGCAAACUGCUACUGCAAUCACUCCANUUUAGUUUGACUACUGCAUAAUAUUCUGCACUGACUUGUUUGGGAAUUCUAUUAAAUAGUUGCAACAGUUUUGGGAGUUGGCCAAUGAAUCUGAAGGAGAUUGAGCAAGAGUUUACUGAGAAAACANCAGCCUAAUCACUUCAUAUUGGAGUUGAACUGAAGGGAGUCUUUANNUUCAGUGCCUUUGUUUUCUUUCAGUGCAUUGUUCCUGUUAUUGUUUGGCAUUGAUUAGCAUUAGGAGAAGUAUUGAAUUAGUGUUGAAUUCUUGGUGCAGCAGAUUUCAAUUUGCAAGGACAGGAAAUUCCUGCAGCUUCACCAAGUGCUGAGACCGAGAGCUUCCAGGGANAUUCGUUGUGCAGAUUGGAACUUAUUGGCAUUACCAUAAUAGCAUAAGCAUUCCCGUGUGCAGUUUUGUAUUGAAGAUUACAAAUUGAGUGCGAAUAGGAUUCCUGCUCUACGUCAAUUGUGCAACACCGAGAAAGGGAGAAUUCUUUAUCUUGUGCAUUCUAUUUUGUAAUCUGUUAGGAAAAAGUCACNUAACCAGGUUUGUGUAUCUGAUUUGGCAGAAUUAAAAUAGUCCAGAAAACCAAGGGCAUUGAAUCCAGAAGCUUGAUGCCGUCAGGAAAGCAAGAUCUGGGCACGUGUUUGUCUACAAGACNGUAGCUUAGGAUUGAAUGUUUUGUAAUUUUUUAUUUUUUCUGUGUAUUUGAUGGGCUUGUGUCAGCCCAAUGUCUUUGUUAGUUUUAUUUUCUGGUUUGUAAAGGGCCUUUUAUAAAGUCCAAGUAUUUGGAAGAGUCCUUGGUGCUCUUUCCAGAUCUUGGCAACUUUAAUUGCUUUAAUUGUAGCAUAGCUAGACAUAGGAGUAUGCAUGUGUUUGAUUUUCACGUGUAGGUGUGACCUUUGUCACAUUAGAGUCCGUACGUUUUUAGGGGUCUUAGAGUCCGUUUUCUUUGUUUGUUUCUUU
This 1210-nucleotide long non-coding RNA is filed under the name Vigna radiata. RNAcentral's name for it is "long non-coding RNA (VRAD_LNC000812)". The record is from RNAcentral. Lineage: Eukaryota; Viridiplantae; Streptophyta; Magnoliopsida; Fabales; Fabaceae.